GUUCGCCCUAGCAACCGCGUUCCGUUGCUAGGCGGAAGGAGCGCCCGGCGCGGCGGCGGCGGCGGGCAGGCCUCGGCGCGGGGCGGGGGGGGGGACACGGCGGUGAGGCCGCCCGCCCCGCCGCAGGAGCGGGCCCCGCCGGGACUGAGGCGAGGGAGCUCUUAGUAGCCCCCGAGGAAACGUGAGGUGACAGGAGCCCCUGGGAGUCAUCACCCGAACGCUCCCAGGCCGCUUCCGGCGAAGAACUUGACGUUUUCCAGGCGAAUGUUUUCAAUUGCAAUAUGCCUUGGAAAUGGUUAAAAAAUUCACCUCGAGGAAAACCUCCGAGCGUGUGGCUAGCUGGCCCCCCGAGCCCCGUGGGCAAUCUCGUUAACCGGCCGCCCUGUCACAACUCGUCAGUGCGUGGCCCCUGCCAAGAAUGAGCCGCGGGUUAAUUUUGAAAAAUCACCUGGAAAGUCUGUUUAGAUCCAUAAUUUAGGUGUUAAAAUUAUUUCUUUUCCCCACUACCUUGUAUUCCUGACGCUGGGCUUGUAAGUUUUCCCCUGGUGCCAUAGUUAAGCAGAAAAUAAAUCCCAGUUAUAGUAAAAGUUGCUAAUAUUUCACUUUUGCUGUUUUGCUUACUCUUUCUUCUAUUAUGUAUGUGCAGUUCGCUGACUUAGUUACAAUAUUACACCUUUUAAGUCGGCAGCAUUAAUAUCAAAAAUAAAAUGUCUUAAUCCAGCCACCUAAA
Molecule: long non-coding RNA, 730 nt
Organism: Aquila chrysaetos chrysaetos
Lineage: Eukaryota; Metazoa; Chordata; Aves; Accipitriformes; Accipitridae
Exons: 2
Source: RefSeq, a predicted model, not a curated record